Molecule: ribosomal RNA, 466 nt
Filed under: uncultured bacterium
Lineage: Bacteria
Description: partial 16S ribosomal RNA
Rfam family: Bacterial small subunit ribosomal RNA
Source: RNAcentral
GAUGAACGCUGGCGGCGUGCUUAACACAUGCAAGUCGAACGAUGAAGCCCAGCUUUCUGGGUGGAUUAGUGGCGAACGGGUGAGUAACACGUGAGUAACCUGCCCUUAUCUCUGGGAUAAGCCUGGGCAACUGGGUCUAAUACCGGAUAGGAGCGCCUACCGCAUGGUGGGUGUUGGAAAGAUUUAUCGGUUUUGGCUGGACUCGCGGGCUAUCCGCUUGUUGGUGAGGUAAUGGCUCACCAAGGCGACGACGGGUAGCCGGCCUGAGAGGGUGGACGGCCACAAUGGGACUGAGACACGGCGCAGACUCCUACGGGAGGCAGCAGUGGGGAAUAUUGCACAAUGGGCGAAAGCCUGAUGCAGCGACGCCGCGUGAGGGAUGACGGCCUUCGGGUUGUAAACCUCUUUCAGUAGGGAAGAAGCGAAAGUGACGGUACCUGCAGAAGAAGCACCGGCUAACUACGUG